UUGGAUAUCAUACAAGUCCCCGAACCUUUGAACGCCAUCAUAAUCUCCACGAAUGUAUGAUAGGUGACGAAGAUUUCUGGAAAAACAUUGUUGCUUGUUAACCUCCGAGGUAUACUCCAGUGUGAAGUAUGUCUCCCCUGCAGCCCAACGGGCAAGGUCGUUGAUAAGAUCGUGCAUAACAAAUAGUGAUGCAUCGGUGGCCGAUUGCUGCAAAAAAGAUCUUGAACGUAGCUCCUUAAAGAAAUCACGACCUAAAUCUUCACUAGGAUUCUCAUCUUCUUUGUGAUCCAAAAAACCGGAGGCACACCAUAAUAAAAUUAUCUCCUCCUCUUCAAAUUCAUAAUCCUUUGGAAACAAUGAGCAGUAUGCAAAGCAUUGUUUCAAAGUUGGAGGAAGAUAAUAAUAGCUCACUGCAAGGGCUGGUAUAAUGCCACACCUCUUUUCUGAUAAUUCCCAUAUCUUGCUACAGAGCACACGUUCCCACUCACGUCUGUCAUGUUUUCCACGUAAAAGUCCUCCAAGUGUUUGUGCUGCCAAGGGCAAGCCAUCGCAUUUGGUCACUAUCUUCUUGCCGAUUUCCUCCAAUAACUUAUGUGACCCCAAAGAAUGUUGAGCGAAUACAGCCAGACAAUCAUUAUCUGACAACUUUUUUAAUUGAUAAGAUGGAACAGUACCCAUGAUUUCUGCAACCUCUUGAUUGCGAGUAGUGACAAUAAUUUUACUUCCUGGUGCACCAACUUCAAAUGGACGUCUGAGUUGAACCCAAUCAUCGUAAUUCCGGUUCCACACGUCAUCCAAAACAAGCAAAAAUUUCUUUCCAGACAGUUGCUUACUCAGUUCCUUUUGAAGUGAAUUCAAGCUGGGAUCACCCACGUUCUGGCUAGCAACAAUGGAUGUUAAGAUUGUUUUUGUUAGCCUCUUAACGUCGAAAUCAUCAGAGACACAAGUCCAUGCCUUGAGAUCAAAAUGAUCCUGCACUUGCUUAUCAUUGUAGACAAGCUGAGCAAGAGUGGUUUUGCCCAGCCCGCCCAUACCUAUAAUAGGAAUAACAGAGAAUCCACCAUCGUUGCUUAAAUCAUCCCUCAACAGCAGUUCAACAACAUCCUUCUUUUCUGUUUCCCUGCCAUAUACUUUGGCUUCAUCCACCAAAGAGGUUGUCUCUGGCCUUUGACUGGCUUUUUUGGAUCCCCCAGCUGAACUUUCUUUCAAAUCUAGCAAGUUUUUCUUUGUCACAAUUUCUUGAAAUCUGCUGUCGAUCUCUUUGAUUUUGGACAUCAAGUCAUAAUCGAACUGAGUCGAUUGUGGAGUAAAAAUGGUGAAGCAAGUAUGAAUGAACUUCCGAAGCUUACUUGGUCUCGUAUGACUGCUACUGGGUUGAUCAUGAGCAGCAGCUGGUUCUCCAUUUCCAAGCGGCAACCUCCUCCGGAAAGCCUCGGUUUGAAACUCAUCCAACAAGUCUUCAACAUCAUAAGCCAAGUUCUGAAGCUCGCCAAGCCACAAAUUCACAGACGGAGCCGUCCUCCUCUUCUCCUCAGCAUCAUCAAGCACUGCCUUGAUCAUCUCCAACAUAUUCGCCCACCUCAUCAGAUCGGCCUCGAUCUCCUUUUGGCGUGCAAAAAACAGAACCCCCUCUGAAGCUAACUUAUUGACCAGCAAAUCAACGGACGCCGUAAGGAUUGCCUCUCCGAUCAUUGACAUUUUUUUUUCCUUUUUUGGGGCAAAGGAAGAAAGGAGCAGAAUUAUGCGUUAUGGAAAGCAGAAUGAGAAAUUUGAACGGGUGAGAAAAUGGAUAAUUAAGCAGAAUGAGUUUGUGAUUGUGAAGGGUCUGGCCCAACAAGCUUAGUAGAAAUCACGCGUUUAUACUUUAUUGACCAAUGACUAAUAAUUUGCCAAUUCACUCAUCACCACCACUUGGUGAGCAAAAUGAAAAUGCUUAGUAAUUAAACGUGGCAAGUCUCCCCACUUGUUGUUCCUUGCAGCUAAGAAAAGAAAAAACAGAGCCGUAAUUAAUGACAGAAUUUUAAAAAUAAUAAUAAGAGAAAAACCUACACAUUUUCGACUUAGAGUGGAACCGUAAUUAAUGCUAAAAUUUACUCAGCUAAAAUUUUCAAAAUAUUGUUCUUUAUAAUUUUCAAAACCGUAAUUAAGGUUCAUCUCAAAUGUUUGAAGAGACUCUAUCAAUUCUUCUGCGCUAAGAAUAUUAAAAUUCUUAUUUUUUCUUCAAACGUUGAAUAAUGAAAAAAAAUGUUAAAUAUGGAGAAAAAUAGAAUGCAUCCAUCUUUGCUGUAGAAGUCUUCUACUUAUAAAAGCAAGUUAGAAUAAACGAUUUUAAUCUCUCUUUUUAUUCCUGUAAGUGCACUACAUUUUUUUUGUUUUAAUCUCAAUGUGAAGUCGUAUCAUAAUGUUAUGUUAAUGUUAUAUUCUUGUUGGAAAAUGAAAUUUUAGAUAAAACAAAUUCGACUCAUUUGUUGAAGGUAUAUAUUUAGUAGGUUGCUAACAUAAAGUAAAUGAACUAAAAGACAAUACUACCAGCGAUAAUUUAGCAAGUUUCGCAUGCUCGUCUUUCUUGAAAUAUUAUAUGGGAAUGGGAUCAAACAACAGUGAUACAAAGAGAAAAAUGGUAAUCCUCUGAUUGUAUUUUUUUUUUCUUUUUCAAAAGAGAUGGUGGGGUUGGGUUGUUUGCAAAGUUAUUAGUGUGGGUCUAUUUAAAAUGUUAAGAAAUUUUAUGUCCUUUUUUCAAAGUGAAUUUCCAUUUUUCAUUUCUCAUUAAGUAAAACCCACAGCAAAAUUAAAAAGAAAAAACAGAGCCCACUAUAAAUAUAAAAUCGAAGGAGCUCAUAAUUAUACCUUUGCUUUACAUACUAAAUUAAAUAAAAGCCGAACCAAGAAUCUUGCCUUUACUUAACAUGAUUAAUUAGACACUACUUCAGAGAGAAUACGAAAGCAAAGAACCCUUUUGUUAAUCUUAAAUGUUAGGAAAAUAAUUAGCUUGGAAUAAAGCUGCGUUAUUCUCCUCUUACCGUCUCUUCAGGUUCAUUUCAAAAGUUUGAAGAGAUUUUAUCAAUUCUUCUUAUAAAGGCAAGCUAAAUUAAAAGAUUUUAAUCUCUCUUCUUAUUACUAUAAGUGCACUGCUUUUUUUUUAUAAUCAACAAUGUCAAUUUGUAGUGUAAUAUUAUAUUCAUAUUCCUGUUGCGUCGAAAUAAGGUAAAAUGAAAUUUUAAAUCACACAAAUUCGACUCGUUUGUUAAAGGUAUAUAUUUAAUAAGCUAAUAACAUAAUUAACAUAACGCUAUUAUUACACUAAAUGAAAUAAAAGACGGUACCCUCCACCAAUAAUUACAUUAGCAAGCUUCGCAUGCUCGUGUUUCAGGACCUAGACAUUGGCGAAUUAAUCUAGGAUAACGAAACAAUUUCAAAAAGCAAAAUGGAUACUAUACAUUUUCUUUUUUUAAUUGUACAGAAAACGGGACUAAUUUUCAAAUAUUUUUAAAUUCACUUAUUUACAAAAGCUAUACAAAAUGAUUUCCUUUUUAUUUUUGAUGAGCAUAAUUUACAUACAUAUUUUACUAUUUAUUAUAUAAUUACUAGUUAUUUUUAUUUGUUAUUUUAAUUAAUUGAAUUAUUUUAUUUCAUAGGAAAUUAAUUGGAGAUUAUGGAUGAAAAGUGCGUAAAGAAUAACAAUUUGACAGCAUUGAAGAUCAAAUCAAUUUGCGGAAGGAAUUAAGCAAAUGUGCAAGAAAUUCUAUUCGAAGAAACCGAAGCCAAUAAAUUGAAUAUCCAUACUCGUGCAAACAAAGAAGAAGUUUAAAACUAAAGUGGGCAGCACAUUAAAAAAAGCUUUUAAUUAAGUCUUUGAAUGGAAAGUCAAAAUAGAAUAAAGGAAGGAAAUCAAUAGCUUUUGGCUUUUAUUGUUUUCAAUUACGUGGCAGGCUUAGAGCUUUAGCUUGUAAGAGUUGGUUUGGUUAUUAUCACAAUAGGAUUUGGUGGCCAAGCAAUAUAAAAGGGAGUUUUGCUUUUGAAUUAAAGGCUGGACGGAAACAAAAGGGAGGAGAAUUCGGCUUUGAACAGAGAGCAGCGGCAACGGCAAUAUUUCGGCUUCCAUGGCUGAAUUUAUUUCUUUUGUUGCUCACAAUUUAAGUAUGUCUAGCUAAUUUUCUUAUACUGAGGUUAAGGAUGAAACCCUAUUCAAUGAAAUAAUUAUCUUUUUAUUUAUUUAAUUCCCUAUAUAUGUGCUUUAAUGUUUAUGGUUUUUAUUUCACAUGAUUAAUUGGACGUUAUUAAAAUCUUUUCAUCAAUUCUGUCAUGCAUUAUUAAUUGUUAGGAUUAAUAUUCAAUUAAUUCUAUACUUGGAUCUAUAAAGUUUAUACAUGAUUAUCUUUGAUUUUAUGUCUUUCAUUAAAUUAUUUACAUAGAGUGCUUAGGAAAACUUUGACUCUUUGUUAUUUAAUAUGUUUACAUGAGAUGCUUACAUGUCAUACUAUUAAGUAGAAAAAGAACCUACAUUACAUUUAAUUUUAAUUGGGCUUAAUUGUUAUAUUUAUGAGAUGACAUAGAUUGAUUUUGAGUUGUCACUCUAAAAUUAGGGAUUCAUUAAUAUUUGGAUAAUUACAAAUUAAAUAGUGGUGGAUUCCGAAACCUUGAUAAUUUUUAUUUUAUUGAUUUCUCAUUUGCUUUAAUUGUUUUCUUAGUUUAAUAAGUUUAAUUUCUUUUAAAAAUUCAAAUUACUCAACUAAGUUAGGAUUAAUAUUAAUUUUAGAUUUAAAUUAGACUUUUCAAUUUAUAACAAUCCAUGUGGGAUUGACCUCGUUACUACUAUUCUAUUUCUAGAUUCAUGCGCUUGUAAGUAUAUUAAAACUUUCACAACAAUUUUGAAAGGAAUCAAAUAACAGUGAUACAAAGAGCGCAAAGUUGCAAUUCUCUUAUUAUAUUUUUUCUCUUUUUUAAAAGGAGAUAGUGGGGUUUGGUUGGUUGCUAAAUUAUUGGUGUGAGGGUCUAUUUGUUUUUGUUUUCACUUUAUUAAUUAUACCAAGCAAACAUGUAAUCAUUUGUAAAGGGGUCACUAGCAUUGGAUUAUGUAAGAUGAAUUCAUAAGACUUAUUAAUUUCGAUGAAAAUGUAGCGUUAUUAAGUUGUCAAUUCAUUAACUUGAGGUACUAAUAUUUACUAAUUGUGGUGAUUAAUUUAUUUAACUUGUCAUAAUUUUCAAUUGAGAAUGAAGUUCAAUCAAUGUAUGAAAAAAAUAAUUUUUUUAGAUUUUUAAUUCCUAUGAUUUAAUUUCCCCCUGUUUCGAUUAUUGACGUGUUAAAAGCUUGUAGAAUAUCAUGAAAUGCUUGUAUCUCACCUCGCAAAUUGACAAAUAUUGGUUGGUUUCUCCAAAGGCUACCAUAAUGAAUUGAAAGUAAAAACAACAACCAUUGAAAAUUAAUUUUAAAAUCAUUUUUACUUGAAAUUUUUUAAAAGAAAAAUUAAGCAAAUUAGAUUACAGAUAUCAAUCUUAAUAUUUUGUUGAUGAAAAUUAAUUAAUUUAUCUCAGUACUUUCUUAAUUUUGUGUUGUGCACCGCAUUGGUCACUUCUGAUUGUGUUGCAUAUUUGUUAAUUCAAAGAAAUAGAACUUCUUUAUCGAUCAAACUUAUUUUAUUAGUAUUCUUCAUCAUAUGGUUAAUGGCUUAGCCAAUGAAGGAGAAGGGGUCAGCCAAAACAAAUAAAGUACUUUCUCAUGCAUUAACCUUUAUUAAAAAGCUUUAUUAACUGUUGUAGUUAAAAUAAUUUUAAAACAAGUUAAAACAGUUCCAACUCAAAAUCAGUAGGCUGCAAUUGGGUUGUUACACAUAUUUCUAAAUUUCAGUCUAAUUUAAUUGUGUAUGGACAAACUAACUUUAUCACUUCUUUCAUAUUAAUACUCAUAAAUUUCAACCUUUUUUUAUGAUGAUGGACAAUCUAACUUAACAAAAAUAAUGUUCAAAUUAUCACAAAAUGUUCUUUUCUUAAAAAAGAAAAGAAAAUCAUAUAUAGUAGUUAAUUUUUCUUCUUCUGUACUCCAAGAUCCAACUCCGUACUCCACUUGUUCGUUGUUAUUAUACCCAGCCAUUAGAUUUUAAUUACGUUGAUUUAACGGUUUGGAUUCGUAAAUGAAUAACGACGUAAAGUUUGGCUACCAUCUGAACCCACCGCAUCUAAUUGGUUUUGUGAUUUUUUGCUUUCUUCACUGCAACGCUUGACUAGUUCUGGAAAUAUCGACCGCCAUCAACGGCAAAUCUGAACCAUGUAUUAUUUGCGAAUACAUUCAUUAAACUAUUAAACAUUCAGAGAAGAAAGCAAACCGUGGCAGUAUAACAAAAACUGCGAAUGGUCAUUCCCAACACGAACCCCUAUGGUUGUUUUCCUUUUAAUUUUCUUCUUUGAAUUCUCCUUUUAUUAAUCAUUAGAAAAACUCCAUUUUUUUUGUUUUAAAUCAUGUGUUAUUAACAUUUACAUGGUUAAUGUCAUCGAAAUCGAAUGGUUGUUAUCUACGAAAAGAGAAUUGCUAGAAAUUUUGUUAGUCCCAUUGCAACAAUAUAUUGUUAUAAAUUGCAUUGUUUUCCAUAUAACAAAUAUAAUAAAAUCUCAAUAAAUUAAUAGUUUUUGGGACCAUAAAAAAAUUAUUAAAAUUAAACAAAUAUCAAUUAAUCAGUAAAUUAAUAAAUUAUUAAUUUAUGAAAAUAUUCAUUAUUUUGGAAAAACAUGAUCACGCUUUUAAUAUUGAUUUACCUUGAGUUAGUAUCUAUUAGGUUUUAUUUGUCUAUUAGUUUUCUCUUGGGAAGAUUUUUUAAGAGUUAGCUGCUUUAUAUUAACAGUAAUAAAAUUAUUAUUUAACGGUUUUGUUUUUCCAUGCUAAAGACCGAUUAGUCGUCUUCUUCUCCUCAGCAUCAUCAAAACCAGGGUUUUUAACUCCUAAAACGUUUCUUUUUAGAAAUAUAUUACUUUAUUCAUCUAAUAUGUUAUCUAACAAAUAGACACAGAUGAAAUCACUCUAAAGUGAAGAUGAAAGGGGAAAAAAAACAUUCCAACCACCAAUAAUUUAGCAAGCUUCACUUUUAUUCCACCAAAGUGUAAAUAGUGCCAGCCCCCACCACCAUCAAUAAUUUAGCAAGCUUCACACGCUUGUUGUCUUCUCCUUGACGAACUGGACGUGGGUGGACCAAGAAUCAAUGAAAGAAUUUUAAAAAUAAUAAUAAAAGAAAAACAUAAACAUUUUGGACUCGGAGUAGAACCGUAAUUAAUGCUAAAAUUUACUCCGCUAACGUUUUCAAAAUAUUGUUCUUUAUAAUUGUACAGCAAAUAAGACUAAGUUUUGGACAUUUUCAUAUUCACUUACUUUCAAAAGCAGUAUUUCGAAACAUUUUACAGAAUCAAGUAACAGUUAUAUAACGAGAAAAGUGCAAAGUUGUGUAAUUCUAAUGUUUUUUUUUUUUUAUCACAGACACUCAGAUAAUUUUUUAUUUGGGUCGCCAACUCGCCAAUUAACCCAUGAUUGAAUGAGUGUUUAGAAAGAAAAUCAAUAAAAAACAGUUUUUUUUUUGGUCGUCGAAAUAUAGUAAGUGAGAAAGAUUAUUCUGUUUUUUUUGUUAAUUAGGUUAGUAAUUAUGAUUGAGUGACUCAGAACUAUAUUCUAGAUUGAGAAUCAACGGUUCUCCCACACUGAGAGGCUGUAAGUUUAAGAUUGUCGUUUGCUAUUUCAUCGACAAGAGAACACUUGAAUUUAUUAAAAGGAGAAGGCCAUAAAGAUUUUCCUUUAUGAGAAAUGUAUCUGAUCAUUCCUUUUUACUUGAAAAUUUCAUAUAUAAAAACUCAUUAAUAAAUGACAGAAUAUACAUAAAUUAUUAAUUCAUUUGAUAGUUGAUUAUCGAAGGACAUGUGACCCAUGGAAGCAUGCAGUCUAUAAAAUAAUUCUUUUUUUUUUUUAACAAAAAAUUGGUGAUGUUGAAAAGCAAAAUUAUUAUUUCUCUAAUUAGGGUGAACAUUCAUAAAAAGAAUGCCGUAUGAAACUAAAUUAUUAAUUCGUUUGACAUGUGACCCACAAUAAAUAGUUAAAUUUGGCGGCAACAAUAAUUACAAGACGAACUUAAAGCAGCGCAUAGGUUUUUCUUAAAAAUACAUAAACAAUUCGAUAUUUUUUAUUUGACAGUUUUUAAGAAAUGUCAAACAUAUAUGACAUUUUGUGAAAAACUGAGUAAUUGUGAAAUAUAAAUGAUAAUUUAUUUAAACGUCAAAUAAUUGUGACGUUUUAUCAAAUAAGUGAUAAAUAUCUUACAUAUUUAUUGAAUAAUUAUCAUUUACCUUUUCCUUUUAUUGACUCGAGCAAAAAAAACAAAAAAACUGACUAUACUGCUUUUAUUUUCGUUCUUAGAACAGAUUUUAGUUUCUUUUGAGAAAAUUCAAACUCAUUCCCAUUACUUUCUUUUCAAUAAUCACCUCUCAGUUUUUCAUCAAUCACUCAAUUCCGAAUUUCAUCUCCAUUCUCUUUUGAAGAAGAACGCACGAAGAAUUUUAGCUUGCUUUUGCUGCUUCUCGAAUAUUGGGUAUUGUUUCCUUUAAUUUAGAUAAUUGUUUUUUAUAUCUCUCUUUCUAGUUUGAUAAUUUAUGGUUAUACUUGAAUUAAUUGUAUUUUUAAUCAACCAAGGUUGAUUUAAUUGAUUCCAAGUCUCAAUUUCCUGUUCAACAAUUUUCAUACUCAAUUUUGAAAGAAUCAAUGUAUUUUAUCUUUGGUUAGUACACUUCUGUUCAAUUUUUGUUUAUUUAACUUAAGAUAUCUUUUUCUUUCUUUUCUUCAAGCAAAUUAUAGAUUAUAUUGAGAACAGAGUUUUCUCCUUAAUUCCGCCAAGAGCAACGUUGAUUUCAGGUGAUAAUUGAAUGUGUAAUAUUUUCAAUUGAAAUUAAUUGAGUCUCGUGAUAAUAAUAGGGAUUUGAGAUUUACAUCCUGUUGAAAUGAUUUUAGAGUGUUCUGUUAUUUGAAUGCGCAUUAAUUGUUUGAUUAAAUGUCUCUUUAAAAGAUUAUUUUUGUUUUUAGCAAACAUCUUAAUGCACUUUACAAAUUGAAUCCAACAAGGGAAAAUUAUAGAACUGCAGCAGUUUUCAAAUUGAUUGCAUAUUAGAAGUAAUGUUAAUUUAUGCUGCAACAGUUCAAUGGGCUGGGCACAAGUUUAGGACUUCAGUUGCUCAAUUAAUGAAUCCACCACUCAUCAGACUUGGAACUUAUAUCUAUUGAAUCAAUAAAAAUAGUUGAUGGAAUCAAUGCCGAAAGCUUCAUUUGAUAUUUAUUUAUAACAUCUGUUAGAUUCUGGACAAUCACAAAGAUAUAGUAGCAGAAACUAUGUUAGAGACACUAUAGUUGCUUAAUUAGUGAAAUUGUGCUCUCAUUGCCCCCUUUUUUUGGUUGAUUCUAUAAUUUUAUUAGUUGUUCUUGUGGUUGUAAACAAUAUCAAUUUCUAAUAUUAAUAAAACUGAAUGAAUAAAAUGCGAUGCAUUUGCAGGAAAGUUAAUAGUUUAAAUAUGGAUAAAUCUUGGAUGUUGAUGGAUAGAAGGUCUAUAGAAUAUGAGAACAUGGUAAAUGAGUUUCUCAAGUUUGCAGUACUUCAUGCUAGUCAUCUUGAGCUUUUGAGAUGUCCAUGCCAAGCAUGUCUUAGUUUAUAGGCUCAAACAAUUAACAGUAUAGAAAAUGCAUGAUAGAACACAGAACUCAUAUUUUAGCAACAAUCCUCAGCUCACUGGCCCUUAGUUCAGAAUGACAAUUCUUAUUAGCCAAAGGUUCAAAAUGAUUUUUAGUUGUUUAUAAGUAGAGAACUAGAUCAACAAAUAAUUGAAGACCUGCAGCUUGGCUAUUGAACUAUACGAUGAUGCCAAUUCGAAGACUACAACUUGGCUCUGCCAUUCGAAGUAAGCAACGCAGCUGCCCAAAGUCUGCCAAACCAAGAAAAAUAAAGACUUCUCCUUAGCAAUUAAGUUAAUAUAAGGAAUGUUGCAUGUCCACAAAACUAGGUAGACGCAACUGGGACUUCAAUAUAUAUAUAGAUAUAUAUAUAUAUAUAUAAGCAUUUCCUAGAUCAAUAUUAUUCUCAGUAACUGAAUAUUGAAGCUGACCAUCACAUUUAAUAAUAAAUCAAUAUCAGGAAUGUUGUUGAGGAGUAUUUUGAUAUUUACAAAAGUGUUCAAAGUAAAAAUUGAUUUCUUAAAACCCAUUAGCUAGCGCACAUAAUAAUGGGGAGAAAAUUUUAGACUACGAAUAGUCCCACCCAUUUAAUAAUAUUCUUCAAUCAAUUAUGUUUACUUCAAAAAAAAAAAACCAUCUCUUUAUUACUUUCUAACUAUUCAUAUUAAUGUGUUCAUAAUUAUGAAGAACCGGUGUAAUUUAUAUGAUGUAGGAAGCACAUUAGUCAAAAUCAUCAGAAUCUCAAAAUUUCGUGAUGUUGUGCCAAAUAUGCAAACCAAAGCUUCCUACAUUCUUUGUACGUUUGUGUUAGUUACAAGCAAUCACAGUGGUAAACGAAAAAAAACGAAUUAAAACACAUGAGGAGAUUUAAAUGAAAAUGUCUUAAUCAUAUAUCGCAUGUAAGACCUUUUGUACUCAAAACUGAUCAGCACCCAUUCUGCCCGCCGUGUGAUCACAUCUUGAAGGGAGUGUUGCUUCAGCAUUUUUAUCAUUUUUACUAUUUCUAGGAUCCAUUUUGUCACCUCCCUCCCUCCCCCCGGUUUCUAAAAUAAUUAUAUAAUAACCAUAUAAUUAUUGGUUGUUCUAGCAAAUAAAAAAAAUAUAUAUAUAUAUAUAUAUAUUAAUCUUUUAAUAACAUUAUCACUUUGUCAAAAUAAAAAAUCUCCUCAUUAAAUAAUUAUAUUAUAUAUAUUCAUUUAUUUAUCCAAAUAAAAAAGUAUGAAGUCAAAUAGUACACAAUAAUUUAACUAAUUUGAAUUGGUUUAUUUUUAAUGAAACAAAUAACAUUCCUAAAUGCUUCUCUUGAUCCUUAAUUUAUUGAUAAUUUUGUCAAUUUAAGGUCGGCUAUAUAUUGAUUAAAUUACAAGCUUAGACUAUCGAAAGCUGGUUACAGUUAUGGAGGCAGGAAAAAUUUUAUUGUACCAGAAAUUUUUUCUACAACAGUCCAUGCAAAGUAAACAUUUGUAAGGAAAUUGGAGAAUAAUUACAAAGCCAACUAAAUUUUAUGAGAAUCAAUUUGGAGUUUUUGUUAAUCGCCAUUUUGCGUUCAUACAAAGCAAGUGUAGAUACCGGCACAAUAAGCUAAAUGCAAAAUCCAAUGUAGGACAGUGGGGUUGGGACAACGAAAUGGGGAAAUGGGAAUCUAGGUAAUUGCACUGAACCUUAAACUGAGAGUACGGGCACUUAAAAUUUUUAAAGUGUCUAAUAAGUUUCAGCUAAAAAGGAAAUAGGCUGUAAAAUUGCUAAAUUCAUUUUGAUUUCUAAAUUCAUAAAUAACCUUAAAAGUUCUCUGAUACAACUUGUCAAUAAUGGUGAAAAUUCAAUUUCAGAAUGACAAUUCUUAUUAGUGAAAGAAUCAAAAUGAUUUUUAGUUGUUUAUAAAUAGAUCACUAGAUCAACAAAUAAUUGAAGACUGGCUUGGCUAUUGAACCAUACGCGGCAAUUCGAAGACUGAAACUUAACUCUGCCGUUCGAAGUAAGCAACUCAGGUGCCCAAAGGCUGUCAAGCCAUCAAGACAAUACGAAGAUACAACAUCAAUAAUAAUUACAUAUUACACCUACCCCAAUAAGAAAUUAGUUAAUACAGUCCUAGAAAGAAAUUUACAAACCCAUGCUGUAGGAAUAAUUAAUUAAUUUAUACAGUUCGGUACUCAUUCCUCUUCUGUUUCAAAUCCAUAUCCACUGCUCUGCCAUUUAUUACUACGCAAGGUAUAUGGGUUAGCAAGUGCCGACAUUGUCCUCCAUUCUUUAUGUGCCUUUCUUCUAUCAAGGGACAACCCAAGAUCUCUAAUCGCAAGAAAAAUAUUUCAAAGUAAAAAGUGAUUUCUUAAAAUCUAUUAGCUAGUGCACAUAAUAAAAGGCCAUUCAUGGUAAAUUUUAGAUUACAAGUAGUCCCAAUAAUAUUCUGCAAUCAAUUCCGUUUAUUUUAAAAUAAAAGAAAUCCAUCUCUUUAUUACUUUCUAAUUAGUCAUAUUAAUGUGUUAAUAAUUGUGAAGAACCAGCGUAAUUUAUAUGAUGUAGGAAACCCGUUAGGCAAAAUAACCUGAAUUUUUUAAAGUAGGGGCUAGACAUAUUGGGCAUAACCUCAGUUUCUGUUACUUCUUUGACCCUGCCUAAGCUCUUUUAUGGGCUAAUAUCAAAAUUUCGUGAUAUUGUGCCUAAAGAGCUUCCAAUUCAAGGAGCUCCCCUGUUUUUGACUGAAACAUAUGUAAUCCGAAAAAUUUAUAAUUAGAUAAAUCAUUCAAAAUCUCCCUGAAUCUAACCCACAUUUCUAUGGUUUAAUAACAUAUCACAAAGGUGCCUAAUAUAAUGAAAUUAGCACUAGUUCACGAGAUUGCCAUUAUAUAUUACAAGUCUUUUUAUGAUGUAGAUUAGAAGGGAAAAUACGAAGGACAUAUUAUAUAUUAUAUAUGAUUGAAUUUAAUCCAUGAUAAUUAGACAAAAUAACACUAAUCUAGCUAACUAAUCCACCCAUCAUAAUAAUUUGAUUUUCAUUAUUUUAUUGUGUCCAAUCAUGCUAAUUUAAUAAAAAAAAUACAGAACACUUGAGGAUUUAGAUAUUCAACAACUUUGGCCAAGUUUGAAAAAGAUUAGAGCUUCCUUCAUGCUUUGUGUUCUUAUGUUACACAUGAUCAUAUUAUGUUACAUUUGACAGAAAACUGAAAAUUAUUGAAAAAAAAAAAUCUUAGUUAGCACAUGAUCAAAAUGAGAGAUUAAUGCACACACAUCACAACAAUGUUUCAUUCAUUUUGAAUCUAUAUUUACAAAACUUGUAUCCGAUGGUUUACAUUUGUUUAAUCUAACUGCUAUGACAUGUGUACUGUCAAAACGCUACAGCUGCCAUCUCUGUUUGUCCUUGUUGCAUCCUUGAUCUUAUAUUAUCCUGGAGAUUAUUGAAUGUUCUUCUCAUUCUCAUGUGCUCGAGGGUCCUUUCUUGAGACAUUUCAGCAAACACCUGAUUCAUCCUAUUAAACAUUAGCAUCAUUAAUCAGUAAAUGAUGUAAGGUAGCCCUGUUUCGUGAAGUCAACAUAAAUCAGUCACCUUAGAUUUUCUGAGUCUCAGAGCACAAUGGGUGAUGAUUUGAUGAGAAAUAUUAAUAUGCCUUCAUCCCCUGAAUUAGCUAGAGCUGGUUGUCAUUUUCUUCUUUCUUUUGGUACGGUUUUAGAUUUUUAAUCAAUCAGAUUCAGCUGCAUGUUUGCUUUUAGUCCAAACCAAAAUAAGAUAUUAAGUACUUUUGCCAGAAUAGACGCAACCAAAAUUCUAUGGGAUCUGUAGUUCCUAGUUCAUGCAGAAGCGACCGAAUGCUUCCUGCAACUCAGGCAGAUAGAACCUUGGUUGAUUCGUUUUUCUUCAUCUGAAAUUCUACCUAAUGCCUAUCCUCUUAAUUGGUUUAAAUUCUUCUUUUUUUUCUUUGAAUUGUUGAUUUAUAAUGUCUUGUAUGCAACAUUUAUAAUUUCGGAUGAUGAUAAUCUUGUUUAAGAAGAGAUUUCUAGUUACGGCAGCAGCGUUCUUGAUCAUGGCAUCACAAGCACGUGCUCUGGUUUGCUUAGUUUCCUUUUUGUCUCUGAUAUUUUCUUGGCAUUGUGGGAUAUUGUUUCUCUUUUGAUUUUCUGUUUUUGUUUGCUUAGUUUCCUUUUUAUGUCUGAUAUUUUCUUGGCAUUCUUGUUCUCUCUUAUAAUAAAGUGCUUUUGAUAAAUUCGCCUGGUCGGUUUACUUCACUAACCAUUAAUGAGCAAAUCCUCCCAGUGACUCUCAAACUCUUCUACACAAUUAUAAUAAUUUCAGUUUUACAUAUACAAAAAUGAACAGCUCUCAAACAUAUCAUUUGAUAAUGACAAAAACAAUAAUUCACUCCAAUAAAUCUCAUAAUAAAUACAUGAUCUACAUUGCAAGUCUUUUUAGGACGCAUUCAAAGAGAAAACAUAAGGAAUGGCAAUGCAAGAAUAUGGAAUCAGAAUAACAGUGAUACAAAGAGAAAAAAAAAGGGGAUGGUCGGGUUGGGUUGCUUGCAAAAUUAUUGGUGCGGGGGUCUACUUGUUUUUGUGUCACUUUAUUAAUUAAUUACCGAAGCAAACACGUCAUCAUUUGAAAAAGAAUCACUAGCACCAGCUUAUGAAAAAUAAAUUUGUAAGACAUAUUAAUUUGAAAAUAUUUUGGAAUUUCAGUCUAAGUUGAUUUGUCUAAUUAUGUAUGCACAAACUAGCUUGACCACUUCUUUCAUAUUGAUACCUAUAAAUUGCAACCUUAUUUUACGUUGAUGCACAAUCUAACUUAACAAAAAAAAUAUUCAAAUUGUCACAAAAUAUUUUCUUCUUAAUAUAUAUAUAUAUAUAUAUACAUACACACAGUAGUUAAUUUUCCUUAUUCUUCACUCCAGGAUCCAGCUGCAUACCCCUCUUUUUUGUCGUUAUGUUGCUCAACCGUUAGAUUUUAAUAACGUUAAUCUAACGGUUGAGAUUUGUAAAUGAAUAAUGAAGUGGUGUUUGGCUACUAUCUGAAAAUAUCGGCAGCCAUCGACGGCGAAUCUGAACAAAGGCAACAGGAGGUGAUCGUGGUGAAAUUGUUUUUUGGCAUGCGAAUCUAACGACUUUCAAAUACGUUCAUUCAAAUAUUAAAUGCAAUUCAGGCAAAUAGAAACUUGGUUGAUUGAUUGCUUUUCAUGUGAAAUUCUACCUAAGGGCUAUCCUUUUAAUGGUUUGUACUGUCUUAUAUGCAAAUUAAAUUCGGAAUUCGGGUGAUAAUAAUCUUGAUUUAGAACAGAUUAGGUAACAUGUGGCAUUCUACAUUCUUGCAAUGCCAUUUCUUUUUAUGGCAGCACCAUUUUUUAUCAUUGUUUGUGUGGACCUAUUUGCUGAAUUCAAAACUUGGCGUGUUAAAACGGCAUCGUUUUGUCCAUUAAGAUGUUUCAAGUUGUCCCCGGCUGGACAUAUGACUCACUUAAUGAUACCAAAACGGCGAGGCAUGAAGGUGUUUCGGCUAAGGGCUUAAGUUCUGCAUGUGACAAGCACGUGAGAGAAGAAUCAAGUUAGUUAUAAGUUGUUAUACACGUGGCUGGAUCUGGUGCAAUCUGGGGUAAUGAACAGCCGUUAUAUAAGCUGAGCUUUCAGGCAGUUUCAGCAAGAUGUAAAGAGCUUCUAGAGAGAAUGAAGAGAGAGAAAAUGUAUCAUCUUAUUCCUUGUUAGUUUCUCCGUGUGAGCUCUGUAAAAUACUUUGAUUCAUAAAUAAAACUCAUUUUAGUCGAUUCUCCCUUGGAUGUAUGUUCUGCCUCAUUGCACAGCCGAACCACGUAAACAGUGCUGGUUUCUUUUUUUUUCAUUUGUGUCUAUCACUAAAAAGCAGAGCACUUGCUUGAUUGAAUAAUGUCAUAUUACAUCACAUAAACUCUCUCAAUUAUUGAAAAAGAAAAUCGUAAAAGAGAUGUGUUGAAUUGAUAACUGAAAAAAUCUUAAAAAAUCUUCAAAGUUUUCAAUUAUUGAUAACUGAAAAUUAUUGAAAAAAAAAAUCUUAAAAGAGAUGUGUUGAAUUGUGAAAUUAAAACUGAGUUUCAGACAUUUCUGACAUGUCGGUUUAUAUUCUUGAUUGUGCAUGCCCUGUCGGUUGCUUGAUGAAACAGGAGAAUAUUGACAUCUGUGUAUUAUCGUUUACUUCCUGCAAUUAAAUCACAUGUUGUUCACGUGAUUCCAUUUGCUCUAUGCGGCACAUUUGGCAGUCGUUUAGGUCACUUACUGAAGCACGGGUUAAGUACUUGAUUCAAGGUUGUUAACUGACCUUUACAAGGCGGGAAAAACAAACCCGGAAUGCAGCUAGUGAGUGGGGGACUUUUCUAGACUCUUCAUGAUAUGUAUAUAUAGUCUUAGAGGCUAUAGUUGAGACAUAUGAAAAGCUUGUAACUUCUUCUUAAUGUUUGUAGUUUGAUCUCGGUGAUGGAGAUAAGAUUGCUGCCCUGUUCUCCAGGCCGAACCACUUAAAAUGUGCCUCUGUUUUGCUUGAUGACUACCAGUGGUGAGAAAACAGCUACAGAACAAAUCAAGCUUGAUGACUCAAAUAUUAGGGAAGCCAUAGUCAAGGCAUCUGGUUUAUGCAUCAACAGUGGUUCGUGGACUAGAAUUCUUAGCUAUUGCCGCUUCACAAUUGCACUGGAAGAAAGCGAAUUUGAUCGAGCUUUGGAUCGCAUAGCUAAAUUCAAAAGCAUCGUACAAAUAGUUAACUCAAAAACGGUAUUGUCAUUUGUCAUGAUUUAUUUCUAUUGCCUGAUGAUGAUACCCAUCACGCCUUAGUUGUCGUGAAUAAAUCUAAAAUCAAAUUGAACUGGCUUUUACUGGUUAGCAACAUUUGUGACGUUUUGAGAUUAUAAUAUAUGACAACACUGAUUAGUGUUGUCUCCCAUGUGAAUUGAGACAAAAAUUAUUUUCCCAAUUGCGCUUUCAUUUGAACAAUUCCACUGUAGAUUUAUAAAAUAAUGAUCAAAUUGUGUUUUAUAUUAAGUUACGAGUAAUUGGUUAAAUAUUAAUACAAAACUAUUUUAAGUAACAUGUGGCAUAUUCUAAUUCUAGCCAAGCUUCCAACUAAGAUUCCCAAAUCAAAAGAAUUUCAAUCUUCAGAACAUUCUGCAAAACGUUUAGUUUCUACGCAGUGCUAGAAUUUUCCCUAAGUUUCUAUCGCAAAGACUUCUAAAGAACUAUUCAGAUAUCGAGCUAUAAUCCAGUCUAAAGUGUAUAUAUCCCUCUAAUUCACCUCCCUCCAUUUCACCAGAAAAUCAACAAACACUUAGCUUCAAACAAACACUCUAAAAAAGCUAGCUAGCUAUUCAGAUGGCAAAACCAAGAAUUCUUGCAAUGACAAUGUUGUUUCUUGUUAUGGCAGCAACAUUGAUGAACAUGGCAUCGCAAGCAAACGCUCUGAUGUCGUACACACAAUCACCUUUCAGGGUUCUUGAACAAACCCCUUUAACAAUCGCAAAACGAGCUGAUCAUCAUCAAACUCUAGCCCCGGCGAGAACAGACUAGAUGGAGACACCAACAGCCCACGUGAUCACGCUCGACAUUCCAGGGAUGAAGAAAGAUAAUGUAAAGAUUGAAGUUGAAGAGAACAGAGUACUGAGAGUGAGUGGGGAGAGGAAGAGUAAUGAUUAUUACAAGGAGGGAGUUGAAGGAGAGAAAUGGCACAGAGCUGAGAGGACAUUUGGCAAGUUUUGGAGGCAGUUUAGGAUGCAUAUGAGUGCUGACUUGGAUCAUAUUAAGGCUCACAUGGAAAAUGGGAUUCUGAGGGUCACAGUGCCAACGCUUGCUGAGGAGAAGAAGAGGCAGCCUAAGGUUAUUAACAUUGAUGAAGAGUCUGGUAAUUCUUCCAAUGAAGAUAUUAAGGCUACCAAGGCUCAAAUGUAAUUGAUUAAAGAAAGAAGUGAUUGCUUUGCUUGAUGUGCUAUUUGUUUAUGAUCUUUUCUUGGUUUUGUUGUGAGAUGUUUCUAUUUGGAUGCUCUAUUUAAUGUAUUUUGAUGGGUUUUUGAGGAAGGCUUGUAUGUAUUGACAACAAUAAAGUGCUUUUUAUAAAUCCUAGUCCUCCAACACUAAAAGAAAUUAAUACGCUUGGUUUAUAGUUAAUAAAAAUAUAUAUAUUUUUAAAAAAAGUCUUUUUCUUUGGCAUAUAGUAUGCGUUUUGAGGGAAAAAAAAUUAUCCCACUCCUAAUUCGUCCUCUUCUGCGAUAUUAAUGUGUUAACACGAAGAUUCAUUGUAAUUGCAACAAUUUUGACGAAUCCAAACGUUCAAUAACUGUUAAAUUGUAUUUAUAAAUACUAAUAGCGAAGGUACAGAAACGAUUAAUUCACGAAGUUGCUUAAAGUGCAUUAAAUUAGAGAGUAUAAAUAAUUGUGUGAUACAGUCCAGCCUUCAUCUGCUUAUAAUUAGCAACCAAAAACCACUUUGCAACACCAUUAAAAAAACAUUUUAACAUUAUUGCUGAGGGAAGAGGCAGCUUAGGCUUAUUAACUCGUAUUAUUAAUGCUGAUGACGCAGCUGGUAAUCCUUUUGGUGAAUAUAUUAAGGCAGCUGAAGCUUAAAAUUAAUUAAGCCCACUAAAGCUUAAAACUAAUUCUUCUGGUGACGAUACUUUGCUUAGUUCGCUUUUUGUUUUUAAUUUUUUUGGGGCUAACGUUUUGCUUAUUUUGCUUUUAAAAUUCUAUUCGCGUUGCUGUGGAAUAUUGUUUCUCCUUCGAUUUUCUGUUUUUGUUGUUAUCGGAUUUGAUGAUGGUUUAUAUGUACGAAGAUUAUGUAAUAAAGUGCUUUUGUAAAAAUACUAAGGUAAUAUACAUUACACAUUUGUACUCAAUAAGAAAUCAAUUCAUUAAUAUAAGCAUUAAUACCCCUGGUUUAUUGUUAAUGAAAAUUAAAAAAGAAAAAAAAAAGUCUUUUUCUUUGGCCUUUAUUAUGGAUUUUAAGAGGAAAAAAAUUUAUCCCACUCCAAUUCAUGAAGAUAUUCUCUUUUCUGUCAUAAAGAUCCAUUGCAGUUGGUGAAUUCAAAUAUUCAGUAACUGAUGAAAUUGUAUUUAUAAAUUCAUACUAAUAGCAAUUGAAGAUUAUAAUUAAUUUUGUAAUAUGAUCUAGCCCUCGUGUGUUUAAUUAGCACUCAAAAACCACUUUACAUAAAUGAGGUUUCAACAGCUGAGAAAGAGAUAGCCAUUAUACAUUACACAUUUGCACUUAAUAAGAAAUCAAUUCAUUAAUAUAGCCAUUAAUACGCCUGGUUUAUUGUUAAUGAAAAUUAAAAGAGAAAAAAAAAGGUCUUUUUCUUUGGCCUUUAUUAUGCAUUUUAAGAGGAAAAAAAUUUAUCCCACUCCAAUUCAUGAAGAUAUUCUCGUUUCUGUCAUAUUGAUGUGUUAAUAUGAAGAUCCAUUGCAGUUGGUGAAUUCAAAUAUUCAGUAACUGAUGAAAUGGUAUUUAUUUAUAAAUUCAUACUAAUAGCGAUUGAAGAUUAUAAUUAAUUUUGUAAUAUGGUCAAGCCCUCGUGUGUUUAAUUAGCACUCAAAAACCGCAUUACAAUAGGCAUUAAAAGAACAUUAUAACGUCAUUGCUGAUGAGUUCUGGUGAAGAUAUUAAGUUAAGGCCACAAAAAUCGAAAUGUACGUAGCUUCGUUUGUUUUUUGUUUUUGAUUUUUUUUGGGGGGCAAAUGCUUGGCUUCGUUUGCUUUUUCGUUUUUGAUAUUUUAUUGGCUUUAUUGUGUGGCAUGUUCUUGUUUUCUUUUGAUUUUCUGUUUUGGUUGUUAUGGGAUUUGAUGACGAUGUACAUGUACAAAGAUUAUGUAAUAAAAUGCUUUUGAUAAAUUGUGGAACAAAAGAAGAACACUAACGAACUAAUUAAUUACUAAUAAGAACAUUAACAAUUUUUGCCGAAGUCUGAUGAAGAGAAAUAUUACACAUAAGUAACGGUACCGCGGAAGGAAAAAAUAAAAGAAACUAAAGUUUAUUUCAACAGCUAAGAAUGAAAUAGGCAUAAGAAAUUAACCCAUCAAUUAAUUAAUUAAUACAGUCCCCUGCUACUAAAUAAUGCGAGCCCCUUACUGUACUUAACAUUUUUCUUUUUAAUAAUUUAAAACAGUUUUCAACUGAGAUUUGAAUUUUAAAACUACAUACACAAAUACACCUGAUUUUAAAGAAAAAAAAUUUCUAAUAAUAAAAUAUUUUACAUAUAUAACCAUAUGGCGAAAAAAUAAAUAUAAGAAACUGAAGUUUCAACAACUGAGAAUGAGAUAGGCAUAAGAAAUUAAUUCAUUAAUUAAUUAAUAGAGUCCUCCUUUGCUAAGCUAAAUAAUGCGAGCCCAUUGUUCUUUUUAUUUCGAAAACCCAUUAAUCACCAACACAUAAUACACGCCCAACUUUUUUUUUAAAAAAAACCUAAUAAUAAAAUAUUUCAGUCGUCCUCUGUUGAGUCGUCCUCUGUUGAGUCGUCAUAAAAAACCCAUUUACCAGCUAUGACAGCAAGAGGAAUAUGGGUUAACAAGUCCCAAUAUUGUCCUCCAUCCUUUCUGCACUUCUUUUCUAUCAACGGACAAUCCACGAUUCUUAAUUGCAAAAGUGAGGAAGGCAGGCCCUUCUCCGGAAAGUAUUUGAGCUUGGGACAAUGAUAGAGACCCAAGUGAGUGAGGUUUUGAAGAUCAACAAUUGAAGAAGAUAGGCGUUCCAGAUUUGGAAAAUUGUAAAUCCACAGAGAUGUUAGAGAGGCAGGAAGAGGAAGCGCGGUCCCUAAUCUUUUGUCCUCUAGUGGAAAUGACACCAUGUCGUCAUCGCAUCCUAUGAUUUCAAGAUGUCGCAGACAGGAGAAUCUGUGAAAUCCCCGGCCCCGCUCAAUCAUUGACUUCCAAAUCUCCAUAUUACCCUCAAUCCAAAGUGAAUGAAGGUUGAUGGGAAGGCCAUCUUCUUCUUCAAGGCUUGGAAGCUCACCUCCUUUUCCUAUUGUUAAUUGUUGAAGAGAGGUCAGAUUGUGCAAUCCCUUGGGUAAGGCCUCUAGUCUCUUACAAUCAAGUAUCGUCAGCCUCGUGAGUUUCGCACAAGGGAAUGCCCCUUGGGGAAAGGACACUAGAUUUCCACAAUACGCUAUGCUAAUCUCUUGAAGCUGGCGGAGAUUAUGUAAACCACUCGGUAAAAUUUUCAGAUUUCCACAAUUAGAAAUGUCGAUUGUUUCAAGAGAUGUGUUGUUGUCCAACCUUUCUGCUAUUGACUCCAGCUUUGAACAUCCGCGAACAGAAAGGGACUUAAGAGACGGAGGUAGAUUGCCAACUUCAAGGGACUCAAGCGUGGCAGGUAACUCAUUUUUUGAAAAUAUACAUGUCAGUGAUGGACAGCUGUUAAUACGCAACUGCUCAAGAAGAGAUGAGGUGUACCUUCUAUUGCUGCUGCUGCUGCUACACUGGAUGCCCUCUUCCACUGUCAAAGUCCUUAUAUUACUGCAAUUGUUAAUCACCAACUGCUUAAGGCUCGGUGGUAGCUGGACUCCAGCAAUAUAUGUCAACGAAUGGCAAAAGCAAAUCUCCAAGAUCUCGAGAGAUGAAUUGGUGUCGCACAUCCAUGCCUCUGGUAAUGAUUUCAGUGCAUCACAUUCCCUAAUCUCAAUUGUCUUCAACUUGGAAGGCAGAGCAACCUCAGGAAAGGAAACAAGGGAACUGCACUUGUAGAUUUCUAUCUCUCUCAAGGAACUGAGACUGAGAGAUGAUUGUGGCAGCUUCACAAGGCCUUCGCAAUAUCUCAAUCUUAGAUAUUCGAGUCUGCAUGACAACUCGCAGAGCUGCUGUUGUUGGCCUUUCUCUUCCUCCGCCACCAAGGAUUGAAGUUUGGGACACCGUCUAAUCGUCAGUCUUCUGAGAGAGCAAAUGUCUUGCAGUAAUUCGUUAUGACUCUUCCAUAUAUAUGUCUGCUCUUUCAUUUCAUUUAUCUUCAAUUCUUCCAAUUUUGGUAGUCGCGGCUUUAAUGGCCCUGCGAGAAACACUUGAUUUGAUCUAUCUCUACAAACCACUGAAUUCUGUGAGCCGAGAUGAUCAGUUGCACUUCUCCACACAACCUUUUUACAUCCACCACUCUGUAAUUUGCAAAGAGCUGGAAGACUCGAAACUGAAACUGACAAUUCUUCACAUCCUUUAAUAACAAGCUUCUCCAAUGCAGGAAGGCGUUCUGGAAAUGUUCCUUGCAGCUUAGAACAUCUUAAAAUGUGAAGCUCUCUCAAUUUAGGAAACCGUUCAACUCCCUGACUGGAUCCAUGAGGAAUCCAGUCUUCCCAUCCUUGCAUGUCUUCAAAAUGAAGAGUCUCCAAGCAUGGAAAAGGAAUUGGAGUAUCAUUCCCAUAGAACUCUGAACCCAACCUCUUUACACUAGUCAUUCCACAUACUGCAAGAUGCUUUAGAGAGGGUAGUUGCCCGACUGACGGCAGGGUAGGACACAUGCCACAAUAUUCAAAUUUUAAGGUCACCAACUUUGAGAAUGAGGAAUCUCCGAACCAAGUUGGAAAUUUUGCACCUCUAUAGCCGCUGAUACAAAAUUGUUCCAAAUUUUUAUUGGGUUCUAGCAUGUCAAGCACGUCCUUUUCAAUUUCCGCCUCCCUUGAAGACGAGCCAUCGGUACUGAGUGUCCAUCGAAGCAAUAAUUCUCUAAGAUUCUUCUUUCCAUCCAAUUGAGCCUCCUUUGCAUCACCAACGUCUUUUACAUUCUCCAAUUUUGAAAUGUUAAGUGUCCCAUGAAGGUGCGUCAACAACUUUAGCUCUCGUAACCCGGAACCACUGCCUUUUCCCACAACAAAAUUACACAACGUCUGAAGACUAGUCAACCUACCAAUUCCUACUGGCAUUUCCUCCAACGACUUCGUAUUUGAAUUCUUAAGAUGAUGCAAUUUGGCGAGGUUUCCCAUGUCUGCACACAACUUCUUCAGCCGAUCACAAUCUUCCAACAAAAGACUAUGCAAAUUGUAAAGCUUGUUGACUGAUUCAGGCAGAGUUCUAAUCUCAGUUGUAGACAGGUUAAGGUACCUUAAAUACCUCAAAUCACCAAUUGAAUCCGGCAGCUCAGGGAUGCAGUAUCCACGCAAAGAGAAGACCCUCAAGCGUCGGAGUUUGAGCAACUUAGGAAGAAUGCUAGGAGCCAAGAAGCCAGGCGAACUUUUUGUCAACAUUACUGGUAAAAAAGUUCUCAAAUGCUGGAUAUCAUACAAGUCCCCAAACCUUUUACCGCCAUCAAAAUAUUCAGGAAUGUAUGAUAGAUGACGAAGAUUUUCGGAAAAACUUUGCUGCUUGUAAAUUUCUGAGGUAUACUCCAUUGUGAAGUAUAUCUCCCCCGCAGCCCAACGGGCAAGGUCAUUGAUAAGAUCGUGCAUCACAAAUCGUGAUGUAUUGUUGCUUAAUUGCUGGAAAAAAGAUCUUGAACGUAG
This 23088-nucleotide long non-coding RNA is filed under the name Citrus x clementina. RNAcentral's name for it is "Citrus clementina (C. clementina) long non-coding RNA (CCLE_LNC002249)". The record is from RNAcentral. Lineage: Eukaryota; Viridiplantae; Streptophyta; Magnoliopsida; Sapindales; Rutaceae.